ACUCAAAGGAAUAGACGGGGGCCCGCACAAGCAGCGGAGCAUGUGGUUUAAUUCGACGCAACGCGAAGAACCUUACCUGGGCUUGACAUGUGCCUGACCGGCGUGGAAACACGUCUUCCCUUCGGGGCAGGUUCACAGGUGGUGCAUGGCUGUCGUCAGCUCGUGUCGUGAGAUGUUGGGUUAAGUCCCGCAACGAGCGCAACCCCCGUCGUAUGUUGCCAGCAUUAAGUUGGGGACUCAUACGAGACUGCCGGUGACAAACCGGAGGAAGGUGGGGAUGACGUCAAGUCAUCAUGCCCCGUAUGUCCAGGGCUACACACGUGCUACAUUGGCGCGUACAGAGGGCUGCGAUACCGCGAGGUGGAGCGAAUCCCUUAAAGCGCGUCUCGGUUCGGAUUGUAGGCUGAAACCCGCCUACAUGAAGGUGGAGUUGCUAGUAAUCGUGGAUCAGCAUUGCCACGGUGAAUACGUUCCCGGGCCUUGCACACACCGCCCGU
This 497-nucleotide ribosomal RNA is filed under the name uncultured bacterium. RNAcentral describes it as "partial 16S ribosomal RNA". It matches the Rfam family "Bacterial small subunit ribosomal RNA", at positions 899 to 1397 of the family's 1533-position model. The record is from RNAcentral.